AUACGGAGGGGGCUAGCGUUGUUCGGAAUUACUGGGCGUAAAGCGCGCGUAGGCGGGCUGGUUAGUUGGGGGUGAAAUCCCAGGGCUCAACCCCGGAAGUGCAUUGGAUACUGCCUGGCUAGAGGACGAGAGAGGAAAGCGGAAUUCCUGGUGUAGGGGUGAAAUCCGUAGAUAUCAGGAGGAACAUCAGAGGCGAAGGCGGCUUUCUGGCUCGUUACUGACGCUGAGACGCGAAAGCGUGGGGAGCAAACAGGAUUAGAUACCCCGGUAGUCC
This 274-nucleotide ribosomal RNA is filed under the name uncultured bacterium. RNAcentral's name for it is "partial 16S ribosomal RNA". It matches the Rfam family "Bacterial small subunit ribosomal RNA", at positions 523 to 796 of the family's 1533-position model. The record is from RNAcentral.